RNAcentral lists this small nuclear RNA (102 nucleotides) under Galendromus occidentalis (western predatory mite). The record is from RNAcentral. Lineage: Eukaryota; Metazoa; Arthropoda; Arachnida; Mesostigmata; Phytoseiidae.
GUACCUUCGGGUACACAUACUAAAAUUGGAACGAUACAGAGAAGAUUAGCAUGGCCCCUGCGCAAGGAUGACACGCAAAAUCGUGAAGCGUUCCACAUUUUU